AGUGAACGCUGGCGGUAUGCCUAACACAUGCAAGUCGAACGGCAGCACAGUAAGAGCUUUCUCUUACGGUUGGCGAGUGGCGGACGGGUGAGGAAUACAUCGGAAUCUACUUUUUCGUGGGUGAUAACGUAGGGAAACUUACGCUAAUACCUCAUACGACCUACGGGUUAAAUCAGUGGAUCUUCGGACCUUUCGCGAUUGAACUAGCCGAUGUCGGAUUAGCUAGUUGGCUGGGUAAAGGCCCACCAAGGCGACGAUCCGUAGCUGGUCUGAGAGGAUGAUCAGCCACACUGGAACUGAGACACGGUCCAGACUCCUACGGGAGGCAGCAGUGGGGAAUAUUGGACAAUGGGCGAAAGCCUGAUCCAGCAAUACCGCGUGGGUGAAGAAGGCCUUCGGGUUGUAAAGCCCUUUUGUUGGGAAAGAAAAGCAGCAGGUUAAUACCCCGCUGUUCUGACGGUACCCAAAGAAUAAGCAACGGCUAACUUCGUG
Molecule: ribosomal RNA, 492 nt
Filed under: uncultured bacterium
Lineage: Bacteria
Description: partial 16S ribosomal RNA
Rfam family: Bacterial small subunit ribosomal RNA
Source: RNAcentral